UUAAGGAAAAAAGGGCGUAGAGAGGAUGUCUAGGCACUAGAAGGCGAAGAAGGACGCGACGAACGGCGAAACGCUGCGGGGAGAUGUAAGUGAUCGUAGAUCCGCAGGAAUCCGAAUGGGAGAACCCACUUGGUAGAAGACCAAGUAUCCAGAAAUGGAGGCAAGACCUUCCGAAUUGAAAUAUCUUAGUAGGAAGAGGAAAAGAAAGCAAAAGCGAUUCCGAAAGUAGUGACGAGCGAAAUCGGAGGAACCUAAGUCGGCAACAUGAGAGAAUGAGAAUAAGCGAAUGGUUUUGGGAAAGCCAGGCGAAGAAGGUGAAACCCCUGUAGUUGAAAUUCUGAUUUAAUCUAGCCGGAAGGAGUACGGCGAGACACGAGAAAUCUUGUUGGAAAAUAAUGUGGACCACCACAUAAGGUUAAAUACUAGCUAGUGACCGAUAGUGAACCAGUACCGUGAGGGAAAGAUGAAAAGAACCCCGGAAGGGGAGUGAAAUAGAACCUGAAACUUUAUGCCUACAAGUAGUCAGAGCUCGUUAAGGAGUGAUGGCGUGCCUUUUGUAGAAUGAACCGGCGAGUUACGAUAUCUAGCGAGGUUAAGGGUAAAGGCCCGGAGCCGAAGCGAAAGCGAGUCUUAAUAGGGCGAGAAGUUAGGUGUUGUAGACCCGAAACCCGGUGAGCUAGCCAUGAGCAGGUUGAAGCUGUAGUAAGAUAUAGUGGAGGACCGAACUAUAGUCUGUUGAAAAAGACUUGGAUGACUUGUGGCUAGAGGUGAAAUUCCAAUCGAACCGGGAGAUAGCUGGUUCUCCCCGAAAUAGCUUUAGGGCUAGCGUCGAUCAAGAGUUUUAUGGAGGUAGAGCACUGAAUAGUAGAUGGUCCCACCUCGGGAUACUGAUAUUAAUCAAACUCCGAAUGCUAUAAAACACGAUCGGCAGUCAGACUUGUGGGCGAUAAAGUUCAUGGUCAAAAGGAAAACAGUCCAGACCGCCAGAUAAGGUCCCAAAAUUUGUGCUAAGUGGAGAAGGAAGUAGAGAUGCAUAAACAACUAGGAUGUUGGCUUAGAAGCAGCCAUCAUUAAAAGAGUGCGUAAUAGCUCACUAGUCGAGUGACUCUGCGCCGAAAAUGUACCGGGGCUAAGCACAAUACCGAAGCUGCGGAAUCCUAAGGGAUUGGUAGGGGAGCGUUCCAUGCGAGAAGAAGGUGUACCGUGAGGAGCAUCAGAUUGCAUAGAAGUGAGAAUGCCGGUGUAAGUAACGAGAAGACAGGUGAGAAUCCUGUCCGUCAAAAACCAAAGGUUUCCAGGGGAAGGUUCGUCCGCCCUGGGUAAGUCGGGACCUAAGGCGAGUCCGAAAGGAGUAGCUGAUGGACAUUUGGUGUAUAAUCCAGAACUACUUUAAUGACUGAAGGAGAGACGAAUGAGGCUAGGCGAUACUAGUUAGUGGAUUCCAGUCAAGGUAUCAAGGCGAAGGGUGAGGAAAAUCCCAUCCAUAAGUAGUGAGAUACCGAGGUAAAGUCGUACGAAGUCAAAGUUCCAAGAAAAACUUCUAAAGAUAUGAUUAAAGUACCCGUACCGUAAACCGACACAGGUUGGUAGGAAGAGAAUUCUAAGACGCGCGAGAAAACCCUUGUUAAGGAACUCGGCAAAUUGACCCCGUAAGUUAGCGAGAAGGGGGACUCAUAGAGAUAUGAGUCGCAGAGAAUAGGCCCAAGCAACUGUUUAACAAAAACACAGGUUUAUGCAAAACCGAAAGGUGAAGUAUAUGAGCUGACGCCUGCCCGGUGCCGGAAGGUUAAGAGGAGAGGUUAGGAGUAAUCCGAAGCUUUGAAUUGAAGCCCCGGUAAACGGCGGCCGUAACUAUAACGGUCCUAAGGUAGCGAAAUUCCUUGUCAGGUAAGUUCUGACCCGCACG
This 1906-nucleotide ribosomal RNA is filed under the name feces metagenome. Its description in RNAcentral is "bacterial LSU rRNA". It matches the Rfam family "Bacterial large subunit ribosomal RNA", at positions 1 to 1994 of the family's 2925-position model. The record is from RNAcentral.